GUAGGGUGCGAGCGUUAAUCGGAAUGACUGGGCGUAAAGGGUGCGUAGGCGGUGUGUUAAGACGGAUGUGAAAUCCCCGGGCUUAACCUGGGAAUAGCAUACGUGACUGGCAGGCUAGAGUAUGGCAGAGGGAGGUAGAAUUCCACGUGUAGCAGUGAAAUGCGUAGAGAUGUGGAGGAACACCGAUGGCGAAGGCAGCCUCCUGGGCCAAUACUGACGCUGAAGCACGAAAGCGUGGGGAGCAAACAGGAUUAGAUACCCUGGUAGUCCACGCCCUAAACGAUGUCAACUAGUUGUUGGGGAUUCAUUUCCUUAGUAACGAAGCUCACGCAUGAAGUUGACCGCCUGGGGAGUACGGUCGCAAGAUUA
RNAcentral lists this ribosomal RNA (369 nucleotides) under uncultured bacterium. RNAcentral's name for it is "bacterial SSU rRNA". It matches the Rfam family "Bacterial small subunit ribosomal RNA", at positions 527 to 896 of the family's 1533-position model. The record is from RNAcentral.